GUAAAUUGAAUAGCGAUUGCCAAUAUAGGUUUGAAUAUGAAGGUACAAACGUUUCUACCGCACGCCGUAAAAGUUGCGACUAUUGGAGGAAAACGCAAAAGC
RNAcentral lists this non-coding RNA (102 nucleotides) under Acidiphilium sp. Its description in RNAcentral is "Guanine sequence". It matches the Rfam family "Purine riboswitch aptamer". Rfam says of the family: Riboswitches are metabolite binding domains within certain messenger RNAs that serve as precision sensors for their corresponding targets. Allosteric rearrangement of mRNA structure is mediated by ligand binding, and this results in modulation of gene expression. Lineage: Bacteria; Pseudomonadati; Pseudomonadota; Alphaproteobacteria; Acetobacterales; Acidocellaceae. The record is from RNAcentral.